This 1527-nucleotide long non-coding RNA is filed under the name Homo sapiens (human). RNAcentral's name for it is "HSALNT0108032". Lineage: Eukaryota; Metazoa; Chordata; Mammalia; Primates; Hominidae. The record is from RNAcentral.
GUGUGCCUUUGAUGUUCAUGUUUAAUUUAUGGAGAAACUCUGACCUAAUUUUAUCUCUCAAGAUCAGCCCUUAAAAUCUCACAUGCCCACCUCUUCUGCAACAGUCCCUGUCCCUAGAGGACUUGAAUAGUUUUCAUUCUGGCCUCCUGUCUCAUGAGUGCAGUUUAUUUUGAUUGUCAUCUUCUCCUGGAUAUAAAGAAGCUGGCAAAUCCAAAAUUUGCAGUUCAAGUCCAGAGGUCAUCAGGCUGGAGGUCCAGGAAACAACCAGUGUUGCAGCUCAAGUCUGAAGCCUCUCUGCUGACAGGCUUCUUCUUGCUCAGAGUAGUUUGUCAUAAUUGACGGCUUUAUAUGCAGCCUUCUGAAGCCCUUUAACUAGGCAAGAGAUCAUGUAGUCCCGCCUGGCUAUGCCUGGGUCCCAGGGCCUGGCUUCAAAAUGGUGAGAAGAUAAUGAGAAAAGGAAAGAAUCUAUGGAUAAGAAGUAAGGAGAAAAUCGUUGACAAUUGUCAAAAUCUUGCCUCAUUACUUCUCCAGGAAUGAUGUCUAUCCUUUUCUUCAAACACAUUCUGUAUUCUAGGAAUUCUGAAUUAUUUUGGAUUAGCCAAACUCACUAUAAACUCUACUAUAAAUAGGAAACCCUGCCAUGUUGAAAGGAAUACAACCCAACAUGGAGUAGAAACAAGAAAUCAAGAUAUACACUCUAGGACAAGGAGCAAUAAGAAUUUGACUUAAAAUGGUUAUUUAGCAUGUAUUAGAGUUGCAACUGGAUUUUAUGUAGUUAUGAGGGAACCCUGAAAAAAGUACCAUUGAACAGAAAUGAGAUUUGGUUUCAGAACUUCAGCCCAAAUGCUAUUAAAUCUUUUGCAUUUCUUGAACUAUACCCCUUGUGUCUUUGUCAUAAUUUUCCAGAGGUCUUCUCAGUCAAUAUGGGUUCAGUUUACAUAAUCCUGUCAACUGAAUAAAGUAAAUAUGUAUUAGGCUUCUGAGUAAAGUGUAAUCAUAAGCAUUGCAUUGAUAUAAGAUAUAUAAACUCAAGGAUAUAAAGAAACAAUUUUUUUGUUCGUUUUGUUUUGGUUUUGUUUUAAGUCAAAGGAAAGGUGUGGUUCAGGAGUGAUAAAUUGCAGCCUGGUGAUCAAGAAGAUUUAAAAUUUAUCUCAACUUUACUAAAGUCUUCCUGACUAUAGGCCCCUGACCAAUCUUUUCUUGGAGCACUUACUUCAGAAAAAUUGCAAAUGUUAAUUUUUUAUUUGCUGAUGAUGUAAUAUCUGUCUCAAGUAUCUGGGAAUCAUCAAUUUGAAAAGUAAUAGGAAAGAAAGAACCCUUGUCUCCUAGUUUCAGUGAAAUGAUAGGAGUUGUAGAUAAAUACCAACUAGCAACACAAAUGGCCUAAUAACAUUGCACAACCUAUUUGAUAACAUCAUUGUCUUCCAGUACUUUUCCAGUAGCUUCCCCUGGUGCUUAAGAAUUUACCCAACUUCUGUUUGAGUGGAGUGGAGUCAUUCUUUCUCCUUCACAAUAGUGUUGAAUAAA